Molecule: ribosomal RNA, 252 nt
Filed under: uncultured bacterium
Lineage: Bacteria
Description: partial 16S ribosomal RNA
Rfam family: Bacterial small subunit ribosomal RNA
Source: RNAcentral
UACGAAGGGGGCUAGCGUUGCUCGGAAUUACUGGGCGUAAAGCGCACGUAGGCGGCUUUCUAAGUCGGGGUGAAAUCCUGGAGCUCAACUCCGGAACUGCCUUCGAUACUGGAGAGCUCGAGUCCGGGAGAGGUGAGUGGAACUGCGAAGUGUAGAGGUGAAAUUCGUAGAUAUUGGGAAGAACACCGGUGGCGAAGGCGGCUCACUGGCUCAUAUCUGACGCUCAGGCGCGACAGCGUGGGAUCAAACAGG